RNAcentral lists this long non-coding RNA (14229 nucleotides) under Homo sapiens (human). RNAcentral describes it as "PREDICTED lncRNA (TCONS_00258134)". The stretch from base 1052 to 1125 matches the Rfam family "mir-30 microRNA precursor family". Lineage: Eukaryota; Metazoa; Chordata; Mammalia; Primates; Hominidae. The record is from RNAcentral.
AAAAUACGGUUGUAAUAGAAGUAGUUAAAACAGAAAAGCAGUAUGGUUGUAGAGUGGGGUGGCGGGGAGGUAUAUGUGUAUUUAAUCUUGAGAACCAAUGCUUUUGGAAAACAGCCCGAAGGGACAAGAGACUAGGUAGAGACUGGCGAGGUUCCUGAAAGUCCUGGGUUACCUGUGAAAUGCCAAAGAUUUUUAAAGUUUGCUGGCAGUGGUUAUUAUAUGUAGUUUUACUUCCAAAUUUGAAGAUUUCCUCUUCUUUGAUGCAAGUGUGUUGGUAGGACCACUGAUAAUAGUUAGUGGAGAUAUUUGUGGGAAUAUAUUUUUAAUCAGAAAGAAUGCAAAAAGAGGGGGAGACAUUUCUUUGAGACACCUUAAUGACACUGGGAACAGUAGAAGGUGGAAAGAGAUCAGAGUGUGGGAAAGAUGUGCCUGAGAUGAAAUUAUCUGAAUUCUGAAUGUGGGGGAGAAGAUGAGGAGAGGGUUGAGGGGGAGGAGAGAUGACUAAGCUCCUCACAGUGUUUCAUUAACUGUCUUUUACCUAAAGGAGGAAUCUUCUUAAUGAAGAUUGGUUGAUGCAUCAUACUGGUCAUCAAGUAAGUUCUUAUAAAUGCAAGUUUGAUUGUUUUGAAGGGAAGGAUAUAGGAAGGCUGGAUAAUCAGCUACAUUUAGAUAUGGAACACUACAGGAUGUCGGCAUUUAUUGUUGUAAAUUCCUUUGGUGAAAAACGUUAUCACUUGUUUGUGACUAGCCUGGGCAAUAUAGUGAGACCUUGUCUCUAAAAAAAAUUUUAUUAAUAAGAAAAAUUAGCCGGGCAUAGUAGCGUGCCUGUAGUGCCCCCCACUGCCCUGGACACGCCCCCACUUCCAAAAAAACAAACACCCAACUCACUUCUGCCUUUUCCUUGGAUUCUACACUUUCUCUCAGGAUAUCUUUCCGAUUGAGUCUUGCCUCAUUUAUGUGAAUGCUGUGCCUGUUCUUUUUUUCAACAGAGUCUUACGUAAAGAACCGUACAAACUUAGUAAAGAGUUUAAGUCCUGCUUUAAACCAAGUUUCAGUUCAUGUAAACAUCCUACACUCAGCUGUAAUACAUGGAUUGGCUGGGAGGUGGAUGUUUACUUCAGCUGACUUGGAAUGUCAACCAAUUAACAUUGAUAAAAGAUUUGGCAAGAAUAGUAUACAGAGGCUUGAAUUUUUAAUGUAAUUAAUGUAAUUAAAGGUUUGUUGGAAAUGUGAGACCAUUUUGUUCUCCCAGAGAAAAAGUGUGUUAAUUGUCUAGCUGGCAGGGAUCUACUUGAAUAUGUUUGCAGAGAAAAGCAGAAGAAAGCAUGGUUGCAGUAGGAGUAGUUAAAACAGAAAAACAGUAUGCUUAUAGAGGAAAAAUUACUCUAAAUUUAUUAAAAUUCCUUUAAAUUUGUUACUCAAUUUAAAUUUUUAUUGUAUCUUUUCAAUUUUGCUAUAGCACUAACAUGACAUAAGGCUCUGGGUAUUGGGACAAAAGAAUGCCCUUGUUUGGUAGUUGGGGUCGGGUUUGUAGUAUUGCAGUGUGCUUUAACAAGCAUGGGCUUUGACAUCAGACAUUUGUUGCCAUCUGGACUCCACAAGUGAAUUUGCUACGGGAUUUGGAGGAGGGAAAGGCACUGUUUCCAUACCUCAGUGGUUUUCUCAUCUGUAAAAUAAGUAUGUGAUUGCAUGGAUUGACUUACAUGAUGAAUAUAAAGUUGUUCAUUAGUACAGUACCUGUCAUAUUAAGUACUCAAUAAAUGCUAGUUAUUAUUAAUGCUGUGUUGUAGGUGUUCAGUAAAUAGUUGCCAUAAUGCUUAAAGCAGACAUAACUUGUUUUUAUUUUUGCAAUAAAGAUGAUGCCAACUUUUUGGUUUAAUGGAAAUGCUUUGAAUCUUUGAUAUUGUUGUAAUAUAGUGGCAAAGAAUUUUGAAUCCCAGCUUCUGGAGCUCAUAUCUUGAUUCUGCGAGUUACUUCGCUAUGUUACUUUGGGGGAAGUUAUUAAUCUCUCUGUGCCUCAGUUUCCUCAGUCGACUAAAUUGAAAUUAUAAUAGCACCUACCUGAUAGGAUUGUUGAGACUAAAUGAGGUAACAAUUUAAAAAUAAGCUAAUACCUGAUAAUUAGUUCUAUAUAUGUACUGAUUGGUCUAAACGUUAUUUCCAUUUUCAUGUCUUUACUUAAAAUACUGAAAAUUAAUUUUUUAUAGCUUUGUUUUUCAGUUCCAUGAAAUCAGCCUGCCUUUUCUUUUUUUGGUGAUACAUCCACAUUCUGUAUAGGUGAAAAGCAAAACAAACAAGUAUAAAACGAAAAUUAUGUAAGAAGUACACACAUCCUAGCAGCUUGGCAAGUGUCUGUAUGCUCUUGCCUGUGCCUAAAUCCAGAAUUAGAAUUCAUGCUUGGUGCUCCUGUGGAAGAUGUCUAAAUGUUAUGAGAAAUACAUGAUUAAAUAAAAAUGUGAAAUGAAAGCAUGGAGACUUGUUGAAGGGGUAUCCACCAUGAUUAUAUAUGAUGGGGAGGAAAGGGAUUACUCCAUUUCUGCCCCUGCAGUCUGUAGGCAUGAUUGAUUACAUCAUUGGUCGCCGGUGAUUAACUCAGUCUCCAAGCCCUGUCGUGUCCCUGGAGGUUGGAGGGUGGCACUGAAAGCUCCAACCAUCUCAUCAUGCUUUGAUCUUUCCGAUGACCAGACCCCACCCUGAAGCUAUCUACGGGUCCCCAGCAACAUUCAUUUCGUUAUCAUACAAAUGACAUUCUUACAAUUUCAGAGAUUCCAAGGGCUUUAGGAAAUGGAGAUGAAGAGCAAAUAUAUAUUUCACAAUAUCACAAACAUACCCUUGGGAAUUAGACCUCUGAUCUAAUCUAGGCUCCCUCACUUGCCAUUUUUGUGACCUUGAACAAGUUGUUCAUCUUUUCUGGAUAGUUCUCUGUUAAAAAAAUUAAAAUAAAAAAAUGGUGGCUAUCAGGUUGUUAGGAGGACUAGAUAAGAGAACUAUGUGAAGGACCCUGCACAGUGCUAGCAACAAAGUUGUUUAGUAAGUGCUAUUUCAAUUUAUUUUGCUUCCAAGCUCAUGUGAGCUCCCUCAGUGUGUACCACCAAAUCACAUGAUGUGUAUCCCAGUCAAAUCUUAAAGGUCAUCCACCUUGAAUCUUUAAGUUAAUUAACGUGUGUUUUUAAAACUGCAUUAUAAGAACGUUAGGGUUUUUGUUUUGAUCCUAUGGAAGUUAAAUUUUUUACACAAGCAUUCAACUGUUUAGCUUCAAACUGAACAGAUAAAUAGUCUGUAUUAUUUCAUUAUGUAUUAAAAAAUGAUUAAGCCUGCCUCAGGCAGUUCAGGCAAAGCAGGUAAAAGAUUAUCAAGGAGUAACAUUAGAAAACACUAAUCAGAGUGCCUAAAAAGCUUUAUGCGGUCCAGGUUGUACAGGGAUGUUGGAACAGUAAAACAAACAAAACAUUACAAGGUAUGAAGCGUUCGAGAUAGGUAGAAUAGAGCAGGUUAUAUUAGAGAAGUCUCUUCUAAAAUUGUGUUGGCUAGCCUGGGAUUUGAACUUAUACCGUGUAUGUAUGUCCAUGUGUAACAGGUUGAACAUGCAAGAAGCAGUGUUCAUAAAAGGUGGCAAACUUGUUUUACUUGUUUCUCAGUCUUUUCAGAUCAGUACUUAUAAAACACUGAUAUUUACAGUAAAUAUCUUAUAUUAAAUAUUAGCUAACCCUAUUAAAUUGUGUGUCCUUGUGCUGCAGUCAUUUAAUGACCUCAUUCUUUGGUAAGUUGGCAUGUGAUUUGAGAUAGCUCUAAGUGCUAAUGGAUUGUUUGAAGGAGUUAAAGGCAAAACCAGGAAGAGAAAACUAUUUUUAGGAAAAAGCGAUCAUACAACAGGCCUUAAAUAGAAGAAAUGAGAUAUCUCUAUCUUUACUAUGUAACCUUUAAUUCCUUACACAUUUUGACUUCAUAUUUUUUGUAUGUAAAUGAGAAUGUUAUAGUCUUGUAAAUUCCUUUUCCUCUGUGACUACAUUCAGUUAUUUAUUUUAUUGUGUGUUUGUGCAUGUCGGUAGAGCACAGUAUUUAGUAGAAUGAGUUAUUGGUUAAACCACCUGGAUUCAUUUGUAAAAUGGGGCCACCUGUCUCUUAAAUUGUAAUGAGGAUUUGAUUAGAUAAUCUAGAUAAAUCACUUAGCACAAGAGUCUCCAGCCCCCGGACUCUUGACUGGUACUGGUCUGUGGCCUGUUAGGCACUGGGCUGCACAGCAGGAGGUGAGCAGGGAGCAAGCUAGCACUAGGGCCCAAGCUCCGCCUCCUGUCGGAUCAGUGGCAGCAUUAGAUACUCAUAGGAGCACAGACCCUGUUGUGAACUGUGCGUGUGAGGGAUCUAGGUUUCGUGCUCCUUACAAGAAUCUAAUUAAUGCCCGAUGAGUUGAGGUGGAACAGUUUCUUCCCAAAACCGUCUCAGGAAACCUGUCCCUGGUGCCAAAAUUUGGGGGACCUCUGACGUAGCACACUAUCUGGCACAUACCAAGCACUCAGAAAAUAUCCCAUUUCUCAAAACUCAGUUCCAGUGUCAAGUCUUAAUAGUAUAUUGAUCUUGGAACUCCAAGGUAGUUGGUCCUCUCUUUGUGCCAUAAAUGUGCCUUGUACUCAGUAGUGCUAAAUUGCUAUCAACUAGUGCUAAAUGUACUACUAAUUCAUCUGUGUGUCCACUUCCCUUCUUAGAUUGUGAGCCCCUUGAGGACAGAGAUGGGUUUACUCAUAUUUAUAAAUUCAUUGGCAUGAUAAAUAUUUGCUGAAAGAAUAAAAUUGUAUUCUUAUGUUUUAAGCAGGGUCCCCUCCACCUCUGAGUGGAAGAUGGUCUGGGAGCAAAGGUGACAGGUCUUCUAAAAAAUCUGGCCACAUUCUCAACCCACCACACCCCCGCUUUUUUAAACAGCUAUUUAAUUGCCAUUGUAAUCCUAAGGAUUGGAUCAAUUUUUCACUUCCCUUUUUCACACUUUUUUCCUUUUACUAAGAAAAUAAAGUAAUAAAGUGACUGCCAAAUGGAGAAAACUGUCCACUAAAUAUGAAUUAAUAAGUGCUAUUAUCAGAAAUUGUGUAAAAGCAACAUAAUGGCACUAUAAAAAGGUAUUAUCUUAGAAUCAAAAACCUUGGGUUUAUAUUAUAGCCCUGCUACUUUCUAGUCAUAUGACAGUGAUCAAGCUAUAUUACCUCUUUGGCUUGACAAAAUAGGGGUCAUCUCUAUUUCUGGCUUGUUAUGAUUGAUGUGAAAUAUUCAUACAAACUACCACUGUGCCUGGUAAGUAGAAGACACUCAAAUAUGUCUUGGAGUUACAGUUAAUACUGUAUCGUUUAAAUUUGAGAAAAACCAACUUUAAAAAAUCACAUAGAUACAGUUGUUUACUGCUAGAAAUUUUAUUUAAAUUAGUUGAUACUCUUGGUUAGGUAAUGAAAAACAAUGGUUUUAUCUCCAUUAUGCUGUGAUAGGGAAGAGUAACACAGUUCAAAUGGCAAAGGCAUACCUGACAAUUAAAAUGCAUAGUUAAAGGCUAAUACUUCCUGAACACAAGAAGACAAGUCUCUACUUGAUACUACUCUCCACAGUUAAAUCAUUGAUACUUUGUGCCAUACAGUGAAAACAGAACCAUCUAGGUGUUCACGGAUUGUAUUUUUCCUUAUGAAAGGUAGAAGGUUAGAGAAAAUUAUUCCCAAUACAAUUAAUACAAAUAAAAUUGGUUAUUAGGUGCCUUUUAAUUAGGCAGUAAGGGCAUAUGAAGCUUCAUUACCUAUGAGAAUUUUGUCAAAAUUAUUUCCCAGUUACCAUGUUUUAAAACAGCCUCUCAGAAUUCCCCACUUCUAAUUUCUCCUUUCUAUUCUACCAAUUUUACUCCAUACCUUUUUGCUAAAUAAACAUUUUCUUCCAACUCUGAGUUUGGUGUUUUUUUCAUUUGAUCUGCUCUUCAAAGUGUAUCAGCUAGUGAUUGAAUUAGGCUAUGGUGUAACAGAGAACUCUAAGACAGUAGCUUAAACAAGAUUUUUUUUUUAACCCCUGAGUCUUGCUGCCUUUUUCACAAAGACAAAGCUUUUUCAGAAACUCCCAGCUUAUGUCUCAUUUGCCACAACUGCGUAACAUGGCUAUCUUUUAGCUGUAAGAGAUGCUGAGAAACAUAGUUUUUUUGCUGGGCAUAUUGUCACUGAGCAAAAUCAAAGUUUUAUUUGGAUUAUUGUACUUACAAUUCACCUUUUAUGGCAAUUUAAGUAGUCAUUUGUCAUAGAUUGGAGGAUUUCCUGGAAGGGUGAAGAACUUCUAUAUAGGUUACUUAUUCUGACUAACAUAAAUUAUCCUACCACCACAAUCCCAUAACUCUAAACUUACAGAGAUGUCAUAGAAAACAACAAAUAUACACACAGCUAACCACAAAAGAAAAAGGAAAUCCCAGCUGCCAGAAGUGAAGAAAAAACAGCCAGAAUAGUGAACUCAGCAGCUGAAGGUACACUGACCUAGGUGGAUGAUAGUGUUGGCUGUGGGUCUCACCAAUGGACCCUGAGACUUUAACAGCAAGAGAUAUGGCCUGACUAUACAGGGAAGCUGGGACUGAGACCUACACAAAGCCAAGACCUUAGAAGGUGCUCCAGCCUCAGGAAGGAGGAUGAGCAAACUUCUACACAAUAACCCAGGGAAGCUACAAAGUUGUCUGAACCCAAGACUUUAGGGUGGAGAAAGAGGAAGGUGUCUGUGAGAAAGAGUUGAAGUUUACAUUUCAGUUUUGCUUUCAGAAUAUCCAUGCUUAGCUUAAAAAUGUGAGGCACAUUAAGUUACUGGCUUUAAUAAAGGAAUGAAUGAAAUGUACAGAAGUAUGUGUUCUCGGGGCCUCUUUUAAAGUCAUUAGGGGAAAGAAUUGGCAUAUAUUCAGACGCAUUUGAAGAAAUUAUAUAUUUUUGGAGAUGGAGUCUUGCUCUAUCGCAUGGCAUGAUCAUGGCUUACUGCAGCCUCAAUUUCCUGGGCUCAAGUGAUCCUCCCAUGUAAGCCUCCCGAGUAGGUGGGACCACAGGCAUGUACCACCUUGCCUGGCUAGUUUUUAAAAUUUUUGUAGAGAUGGAGUCUCACUGUGUUGCCCGAGCUGGUCUCGAACUCCUGGGCUCAAGUGAUCCUCCCACCUUGGCCUCCCAAAGUGUUACGAUUACAGUCAUGAGCCACCAUGCCUGGCCUGAAGGAAAAUUUUAAAACAGAAGGAAUAAGCUAGAAUGCAGCACAGAAGAGGUAGAAAAUUGAAAGUAAUUCAUGGAAGAUCCAAUAUACAUAUAUAUUUUAGGAGUUUAAGGAGAAAACAGAAGGUGUGAGGCAGUUGUGAACUAACAGAAUGUGUAGUAUACAACUCUUGGUAGAGAAAUGGUACGCACUGAAGUUUUUGAGGCGUGGGGGACAGGUAGCUUCCUUCUCUCAUGCAUACUCCUGCUGCCAAAUUACCCCCUAACGGCUACGUUAUAAUGAAAACAGUUUCAUGCCAGCUUCUGUUAUAUUAACCGAGCAAGAAAACUGAUCUUAGCAUGUUCUGCAGGCUAAAGGAAAUUGCUCUUGGCCCAUUUAGGUGCUCUAACCACCAUCUUGCCUGAAAGGUUCCUUUAAGAAGCAGAAUUCUAUUACUUUAACAAAAGGUGUGUUCAUGGCUGGACAAGAGCCUUUUAGGGGGUUAGACUAGGACAUCAUCCCAAAAUAUAAGGGCUACAGGCCAUGCUGGAUUCUUAUGGCCUCUUCUUGCAAUGGUGGUAUGUGUUACUCUGCUAUUAGUCAGUCUGAAAACCUUUAAUCUCACCAUCGGAGGCCCAUUUAAAAAAUUACUUUAGCAGGUCACUAAUAAAAAUUUCUACCAUUUAGUAUGAAAAUUAAGACAUUGUAUGUUGAUCAAGAUGCAGUCAACAAUACCUAGAAUAGCUUCCACUAGAGUAUGCAUUCUCUGAUUAGAACACUAGUUCAUCUUCCUAGUGAACUGUUCUAUCAGGAUGGUAGCAAGACUUAAGCGAUGACUUUACAUAAGUUAUGUGUACCACACUGUGUAUACUGGAGUAUUUCCAUGUAAAUUACAGACAACAGCUAUACUGGAAGCAAUAAAUGGCCAAGAAAUUUCCAGAGUUGACCAAAGACAUCAGGAAUGAUACUUGCUUCCAGAAAAAGAACCAAUGUAACAUUGGCUUAAACUGUUGUGCUUUUGCUUUUCUUUCAGAUGUAGGCUGUCCAGGUGUCCGGUACUAUAACUCCACAAGAUCAGUAGGGCCCCAGGCUUUUUCUGUUCUUUAUGAUCCACUCUCUACCAUGUAGCAUUUGUCUUCAAGAUCAAAAAAUGGUGGCUGUAGUGCUCACAUUCCAGAUAAGGAAGAAUGGGCAAGAAACAAAAGAUCCACUCCAAAUGUGAUGGCAAAAUUAAGACUUUUGAGUGAAAAAUGGAAAUUUGUCUUCAGUACAUACACACUGAAAGAAAUGUUGAAGAGAGUUCUUCAGGCAGAAGCAAAAUCAUUCCAAGGGAAAUCCUGGAAUGCAGGAAUAAAUGAAGAGCAAUGGAAAUGGUAAAUAUGUGGGUAAAUUUGAAGGAAUAUUGGCUGUAUUCUGUGGUUUAAAAUAUCUGUGGAAUUAAAAUGCACCUACAAUAACGAGACAGGAGAAGUUUGUACUGGAGUUUGUCCUCAGGUUCUAGCAUUAGGUAGGUAAAUGGUAAGAUUACUUUUUUUAGACUAUGAAGACAAGGGUGCAUGUUGUAAUCUCUUAAGCACUAAAAGGCUAAUAGAAUGUAUACCUAACAAUUUAAUGGAGACAAAAGCAUUUAAAAGAAGGCAAGAAUAGAAAAGGGACAUAAAACAAAUGGGUCAAAUUUAAAGUUGCAAAAUAGAAACCCAAAUACUUUAAAUGAGUCAUUAGUUGAAUUAAGUUUAAAAAUUUAUCAGGCUGAAAAUUCCCUACUACAUGUUGCUUACAAGAGGCAUACUUUAAAUACAAGGCCACACAAAAAGGUUGAAUGUAAAUGGCAUAGGGAAAAAAAAACACAGCAAACCAAAUAAAAACAGUUUGAAUGUGGUAUUGUCAGGCAAUGAGAUUUAAGGCAAAAAGCAUUACCAGAGAUAAAGAGGGACAUUUUAUAAUGAUGAAGGAAUUAAUUCACCCAAAACACAUAAAGAUCCUAAAUCUGUAUGUGUUGAAAACAGAUUUGAAAUACAUAAAGCACGAAUGACAUAUAAGAAGAGAAAUAGGUAAGUGUCUAACCAUAGCUGGAGGCUUAUGCAGCUUUUUCCAUAGCUGAUAGACUAUCCGGACCCUACCCCCAAAAAAUCAGAUGCAGAGGAUCUGAACUUUACAUAUAUGAAUACUUGAUUUAAAAAACAUAAUUCACAUUUUCUUCAAGUAAAUUUAUCAAAAUUUACCCUAUUUUGAGUCAUAAAGCAAACCAAUAAUCUCAAAAGAUCAAAAGCAUUCAUCUUACAUUCUCUAACACAGUGGAAUUAAACUAGAAAACAGUAAAAAAGAUGAUUAGAGAAACCCGCAACUACUCUGAAAUUAUGUAAUAGAUUUCUUGAUAGUCCCUGGGUCAAAGAAUAAAACAAAUUUAAAAAUAUUUUCAAGUGAAUAAUAUGACAUACCAAAAAGUGUGUUGCAGCUGAAGCAGUGCGUGGAGGAAAAUUUAUAGAUUUACAUGCAUACAUUAGAAAAGAAGCAAGGCUGAAAGUCAAUUACCUAAACUAUUUUCAAGUAGCUGGAAAAAGAAGAGCAACGAAAUAAUAAAAGACAAAAAGUCAGUGAAAUAACACACAAUAGAGAAAGCCAAAAUGUUGGUUCUUUGAAGUCUAAAAACAAUAAUAACCUCUACUGUUUAACAUAUUUGAGAUAUUAGCCAAUAACGUAAGGCCUGAAGUAAAAAGAUAGAACGUUUAGAAAGAAGAAAAUAAUACCAUUUAUAGACAACUGGUUGUGUGCAUAGAAAUUUGAAAAGACUCAACAAACAAAAUAACUUAUCAAGGUCACUGAAUACAAACUAUACAGAAAUUGUAUUUCUAUAUAUCAGAAACAAAUAGAAAUUGAUAAAAUGAUACCAUUUACACUAGUGUAAAAUAAAUACAAGAAAUUUUCCAAUCAUUUAAGCAUUUUUUUUUUAAUUCUAAAUAUAUGGAUAUACCAUGUUCAUGACUUGGAAGUCAAUUUUGUAAAUUAAUCUGUAACUUCAAUAUAUGAUAUUAUCAAAAUCCCAACAGUAUGUUGGAGAAAUUAACAAACUGAAGAAAUGCAAAGGACCGAGAAUAUCCAAGAUAAACUUGAGCAAUAAAACUGAAAAAUGUUCACCAACAGACAUAAGACCUGUGAUUAUAAAAGUGUAGUUGUAAUUAACACUGUUGUUGGCUGGCAUAAGGAUAGACAAAUAGACCAAAGUAACAGACUAGAGCAAAGUAGACUAGAACAAAAUAGAACAAAGUAACAGAAUUCUGUAUACGUGGUGAUCCACACAUUUAGGUCAUCUGUGAUUUAUGAGAAAGAGAAACUAUUGUAAUGGUACAGUCAAUUAGAUAGCUGUAUUGGGGAAAAAAGUAGACCCCUUCCUUGAUACCAUAUAUAUAGAAAAAUCAAUUCCAUGUGGAAUAUGGUUUAAAUGCGAAAGGAAAUAAUGAAACAGGAGAGUGUCUUCAUGUUUUGGGGUAGGCAACUAUUUAAAGGACAUAAAGCAUAAAGGAACAUUUUAAACUAAUUUGUGGUGAUAGAAUCAGGGUAGAGGUUAUCACUCGCCUGGCAAAAUUAAUCAAUAAGAAAAGAUAACUUAGCCAGACACAGUGGCUCAUGCCUGUAAUCCUAGCACUGGGAGGCUGAGGCAUGAGGAUAGCUUAAGACCAGGAGUUCAAGACUAGCCUGGGCAACAUAGUGAGACCUUGUCUCUACAAAAAUUUUAAAAAUUAACUGGGUGCAGUGGCAUGCACUUGUAGUCCCAGUUACUUGGCAGGCUGGGGCAGGAGGAUCAUCUGAGCCCAGGAGUUUGAGCCUGCAGUGAACUAUAAUUGUGUCACUACACUCCAGCCUGGGCAACAGAGCAAGACCCUGCCUGUCUAAAAUUAAAAAAAAAAAAAAAAAGCUUGAUAUCAGGAAAGAAAUAAGGCAUGAAAACGGAUAAAAUUAAAAUUAUUUGAUUUAGAAAGUGAUUGUGAAUUUAUGUGAAUAAAUUUGAAAUUUUAGAUAUUUUUUGAUUAGUGUUGCCAAAUAUGUAUUAGUAAAUAAGUCUCAAUCUGUUUUUUAAAAUCUACUCUGAAUAAUGCACAAGCUCUGGAUGAUUUAUUAAAAUACAUUCAUUGUGACCAAGUAAGGAUUAUUUCCAUAUGGGAGAAUGAUUUAACACUGUAAAAUCUUUUCACAUAGUAUAUACCAUGUUAAUAGGUUAAAGAGAAAAGGCAUGUUACUAUCUCAGUGAAUGCAGGGAGUUGGAGGGGGAGAACCAGCAAAAUGCAAGUUAUAUUCACUUAGGAUUUUAAAAAUAAAACAUCCUCUUAAUAGAUGAAUAAACGUAUUAGUACGAUAAAUGAUAGCUUACCAAAACCCAUAGUUAUUGUUACAAGUUAAUGGUACAACUUUAGAGAUGUUCCUUAAUGUCAGCAAUAGUACAGGAAUGGGAUAUUGUAUUAAUACAUCUGUUCCAUGUUGCACUGGAGAUCUUGGCCAGUGCAGUGAGACUAGAAGAAUAAAUAAUAGGCAUAAAGACUGGAAAGAGAGAAUCAAUUAUUGUUAAUGGGCAAGAUCAUUGUUUAUUUGAAAGUCCAAGGAAAACUACAAAGUAGCAAAACUAAUGUGAGUGUUGAGAGAUUUUGGAUAUAAGAGCAAUCUGCAAGAAUUAGUAGUGUUCUUUUCCACUUCAGUGUGUUUGAAAGUGUAUUAUUUGAAAGAAUUUCAUUCACAAUUAAAACUCUAAGGGGACCUAAUAAUACAUCCAAUAAAAAUAUGCAAGAUUUUGUAGAAGUAGACUAAAAUGAAUGGAGCAGUAUUCUAUGUUAGAGAAUGGGAAAAAUCAGUGCAUUAAAGUACCAGUUCUCUCCAAAUCUAUAAAUUCACUGAAGUUCCAAUCAAAUUCUCAACAAAACUUUUUAUGGAAUUUAAUCAACCUAACCUGAAUGUGGAAAGACAAAGCUGAGAUUUUUUUUUUUUAAACAGGAAAAAUAGGGGAGUACCUAUCAUAAAAGACAGUAGGGCUUAUAAAACUAUAGUGAUAACACAGCCCUUGUGAUGCCAGGAUAGACAUGUAAAUCUAUGGUACAGAAACAGAUACAUGAGAACUUGAUACGUGACACAGUGGAGAAAUUAGUAACUUUUCAAUAAAUGGCACUAGGACAAUUGCAUGUCUGUAUGUGAAAAAAUUAUAUACCCUUCUCACACCAUAUUUUUAAAAACUGGUAGAUUAAAGACCUAAAUGUGGCGGAGGGGGGAGGGGGCGGGAAUACCAUUUUAAAUAUUUUAGAAGGUAAUACAGGAAAAUUUGAACCAAUGUAAGGAAGGAGUUGUUGGAUGUGACUCAAAGUGGGAACCAUGAAGAAAAAGAGUCACACAUCUGACUAUAUUAAAACUAGAAACUUAAGUAUGACAAAAGACACUGAAUAUUAGAGGGCCAGCCACAGACGUGGAAGGUACUUACCUUGCAAUUAUCUACCAGGAACUGACAAAGGAAGUGUCCAAAUUACAUAAAGGACUACUUAAGGGGGGAAUAAAUGAGUGAUAUAUGAGAGAGAACCAAAAGGUCAAUUAACAGAAAAAUGUUUUAGCUCACUAGGAGUCAAGGAAAUGCCAGUCAGCACAGUUAGAUACCAUUUCACAUCCAGUCAGAUAAUAUCAGGGAUUGGCAAACAUGUUGAGAAAAUAAUUCAUACUUUAGUAAAGUUGAAAUUACAUAUUGCUUAUAACAGCAGUUCAACAUCUGUCUUUUUAUAAGACUAAAGUUUUGCAUCAUAUUUAGGUACAGAAAUUGUCAGAACACUUAAAGCUUGUAGGCAUUUGUUGCUGGGAGAAGACUGAAUUGCUUUUUUCAAAAACUGGAAAUCACAUUGAUGUGUUGUAAAAGAGAACCUUAGAUUUAGAGAGGGAAAAAAAACUACAGUAUUUUGUUAAAUUUAUCUACAUUUAAAGAUACUAAUAAAUGCAGUUUAUGAACUACCAGUCUCCUAUAUUGGUCAUAUUUUGACAAGUAAAGCUUUUUUUUUCAUAACGUCAAUAUUCACACAGAGGUUACAGUUCAGAUUAGGAGAACAUAUGUAUGAUAAAACAAUUAGACUAAAAAGGUCCUUUCUUUUUAUAUGAAAUGGCAGAAAAGCAACAGCAGUUUAUUGCUUAUGACAGAAUACAUAUGAUACUCGAAUAUUUCUUGAGAUCUUUGCUUAAAUCUAGUAUCUAUACAAAAUUUUUAUGUUCGCUAGAUUGUAAAUUCAGUUUUCUUACUAAGAAAGACUGAAAUUUAUUAAUAAUUUUGGGGUUCUAGUGAUUAGCAUUAGAGACUGAUUUGCUUUUAAAGAGAAUCGCAUAUUUUAUAUAUUUCCAAUUUUACAUACUUCUGAAAGAACAUAACUUUGUCAUUAAUAUAUGGCAUAUGUAUACAAUGAAAAAUGUACAAGGAUGUUUCUUACAGCAGUUAUUGAAAUAGCAGGAAGAAAAAGGUAACUUAAAAGACACUUAGCACUAGAGUCUCCAGUCACAUCUACUCCCUGGCCCAUGAACUAAGAACGUUUUUAACGUGUGUAUGAAAGGAGUGACUUAAUAGAUCUGGCGUGUUGAAACCUGCACCUUUCAAAGAAAGGUCUAGCCCUCAACUUGCUCCUGGGAGAUCACAGCGCUAAGCCCCUGGAAUAUCCUGCCUGAUGCAAGGCCUUUGUUUACCUGGGGCCUUGGAUCACACCAGAUAGUUUAUGCUACAGAUUUAUGGUGAGGGCAUUGCACCUUGCAGUAUCAAUUUAAUCGCCGGGGGAGGUGGAAACUGAAUAACAUCUGCCAUUUCUGUUCUCCAUGCCUAUGUGACUAACACCCAAUAAAAACCUUGGACACCAAGUCUCAGCUUCCCUGGUUGAUAAUAUUUCAUAAAUGACCCACACUCAUUCAGAGAGGAUUAAGUGCUGUGCAUGCAUCUCCUGUCAGAUGGGACAACUGGAAGCCUGUCCUGCUCUCUUCUGAACUCUUUCCUAUCUGCCUUUUAAAACUGUACUGAUUUUAAACUGUACUUUUGCUCUAAUAAACUAAUUGUCAACGUAA